UCCGUAGGGUGCAAGCGUUGUCCGGAAUUAUUGGGCGUAAAGAGCUUGUAGGCGGUCUGUCGCGUCUGCUGUGAAAUUUCGGGGCUCAACCCCGAACUUGCAGUGGGUACGGGCAGACUAGAGUGUGGUAGGGGAGACUGGAAUUCCUGGUGUAGCGGUGAAAUGCGCAGAUAUCAGGAGGAACACCGAUGGCGAAGGCAGGUCUCUGGGCCACUACUGACGCUGAGAAGCGAAAGCAUGGGGAGCGAACAGG
Molecule: ribosomal RNA, 253 nt
Filed under: uncultured bacterium
Lineage: Bacteria
Description: partial 16S ribosomal RNA
Rfam family: Bacterial small subunit ribosomal RNA
Source: RNAcentral